UACGGAGGGGGCGAGCGUUGUUCGGAUUCAUUGGGCGUAAAGGGUGCGUAGGUGGCGCCGUAAGUCGGGUGUGAAAUUUCGGAGCUUAACUCCGAAACUGCAUUCGAUACUGCGGUGCUUGAGGACUGGAGAGGAGACUGGAAUUUACGGUGUAGCGGUGAAAUGCGUAGAUAUCGUAAGGAAGACCAGUGGCGAAGGCGGGUCUCUGGACAGUUCCUGACGCUGAGGCACGAAGGCCAGGGGAGCAAACGGG
This 253-nucleotide ribosomal RNA is filed under the name uncultured bacterium. Its description in RNAcentral is "partial 16S ribosomal RNA". It matches the Rfam family "Bacterial small subunit ribosomal RNA", at positions 524 to 776 of the family's 1533-position model. The record is from RNAcentral.